This 460-nucleotide ribosomal RNA is filed under the name uncultured bacterium. RNAcentral describes it as "partial 16S ribosomal RNA". It matches the Rfam family "Bacterial small subunit ribosomal RNA", at positions 338 to 795 of the family's 1533-position model. The record is from RNAcentral.
CCUACGGGGAGCAGCAGUGAGGAAUAUUGGUCAAUGGGCUUACGCCUGAACCAGCCAAGUCGCGUGAGGGAAGACUGCCCUAUGGGUUGUAAACCUCUUUUGUCAGGGAGCAACGCCGGCUACGUGUAGCCGGACUGAGAGUACCUGAAGAAAAAGCAUCGGCUAACUCCGUGCCAGCAGCCGCGGUAAUACGGAGGAUGCGAGCGUUAUCCGGAUUGAUUGGGUUUAAAGGGUGCGUAGGCGGAAUGCCAAGUCAGCGGUAAAAUCGCGGGGCUCAACCUCGCUCCGCCGUUGAAACUGGCGUUCUUGAGUGGGCGAGAAGUAUGCGGAAUGCGUGGUGUAGCGGUGAAAUGCAUAGAUAUCACGCAGAACUCCGAUUGCGAAGGCAGCAUACCGGCGCCCAACUGACGCUGAAGCACGAAAGCGUGGGUAUCGAACAGGAUUAGAUACCCUAGUAGUC